Molecule: non-coding RNA, 150 nt
Organism: Caenorhabditis elegans
Lineage: Eukaryota; Metazoa; Nematoda; Chromadorea; Rhabditida; Rhabditidae
Source: Ensembl
GCCAGUAGUGGCUCGGCUUCCUCUGGCUUCAACGAGUUGGUGAUUUCCUUUUCUGCCGUCUUCAAAUCGUCCGACUUGAGCUGAUCCAAAGGAAUCUGCUCAAACUGAGAGAUGUUAAGUUUCAGUGAGAGAAUCAGUUGUUCCUUGUCG